AGAGAGUGCAAGCGUUAAUCAGAAUUACUGGGCGUAAAGCGCGCGUAGGUGGAUACUUUAGUCGGAUGUGAAAGCCCUGGGCUUAACCUGGGAACUGCACCCGAUACUGGGUAUCUAGAGUAUGGUAGAGGGUAGUGGAAUUUCCGGUGUAGCGGUGAAAUGCGUAGAUAUCGGAAAGAACACCAGUGGCGAAGGCGGCUACCUGGACCAAUACUGACACUGAGGUGCGAAAGCGUGGGGAGCAAACAGGAUUAGAGACCCUGGUAGUCCACGCCGUCACGAUGAGAACUAGCUGUUGGAAGGUUUACCUUUUAGUAGCGAAGCUAACGCGUUAAGUUCUCCGCCUGGGGAGUACGGCCGCAAGGCUA
This 368-nucleotide ribosomal RNA is filed under the name uncultured organism. RNAcentral describes it as "partial 16S ribosomal RNA". It matches the Rfam family "Bacterial small subunit ribosomal RNA", at positions 527 to 896 of the family's 1533-position model. The record is from RNAcentral.